GUCCAGGUAGCUCAGCUGGUUAGAGCAAAGGACUGAAAAUCCUUGUGUCAGUGGUUCGAAUCCACUUCUAAGCG
RNAcentral lists this transfer RNA (74 nucleotides) under Verbascum thapsus (common mullein). Its description in RNAcentral is "tRNA-Phe". It matches the Rfam family "tRNA". Rfam says of the family: Transfer RNA (tRNA) molecules are approximately 80 nucleotides in length. Their secondary structure includes four short double-helical elements and three loops (D, anti-codon, and T loops). RNAcentral also lists the same sequence under 10 other names. The record is from RNAcentral. Lineage: Eukaryota; Viridiplantae; Streptophyta; Magnoliopsida; Lamiales; Scrophulariaceae.